Molecule: ribosomal RNA, 437 nt
Filed under: uncultured bacterium
Lineage: Bacteria
Description: partial 16S ribosomal RNA
Rfam family: Bacterial small subunit ribosomal RNA
Source: RNAcentral
AGCGAACGCUGGCGGCAGGCUUAACACAUGCAAGUCGAGCGGGCAUCCUUGUGGUGUCAGCGGCAGACGGGUGAGUAACGCGUGGGAACGUGCCCUUCGGUUCGGAAUAACUCAGGGAAACUUGAGCUAAUACCGGAUACGUGCGAGAGCAGAAAGGUUUAUCUGCCGAAGGAUCGGCCCGCGUCUGAUUAGCUAGUUGGUGAGGUUAUGGCUCACCAAGGCGACGAUCAGUAGCUGGUCUGAGAGGAUGAUCAGCCACACUGGGACUGAGACACGGCCCAGAAUCCUACGGGAAGGAGCAGUGGGGAAUAUUGGACAAGGGGGGCAAACCUGAACCAGCCAUGCCGCGUGAGUGAUGACGGCCUUAGGGUUGUAAAGCUCUUUUCUCCGGGACGAUAAUGACGGUACCGGAGGAAUAAGCCCCGGCUAACUUCGUG